UACGGGGAGCAGCAGGCGCGAAACCUUUACACUGCGGGAAACCGCGAUAAGGGGACACUGAGUGCCAGCAUAUAAUGCUGGCUGUCCGUAUGUGUAAAAUACAUGCGUUAGCAAGGGCCGGGCAAGACCGGUGCCAGCCACCGCGGUAACACCGGCGGCCCGAGUGGUGAUCGCUAUUAUUGGGUCUAAAGGGUCCGUAGCCGGUUUGAUCAGUCCAUUGGGAAAUCUGGUGGCUUAACCGUCAGAAUUCCAAUGGAUACUGUCAGACUUGGGACCGGGAGAGGUAAGAGGUACUACAGGGGUAGGAGUGAAAUCUUGUAAUCCCUGUAGGACCACCAGUUGCGAAGGCGUCUUACCAGAACGGGUCCGACGGUGAGGGACGAAAGCUGGGGGCACGAACCGGAUUAGAUACCCGGGUAGUCCCAGCCGUAAACGAUGCUCGCUAGGUGUUAGGGAUGGUACGGCCGUUCCUAGUGCCGAAGGGAAGCCGUGAAGCGAGCCACCUGGGAAGUACGGCCGCAAGGCUGAAACUUAAAUGAAUUG
This 543-nucleotide ribosomal RNA is filed under the name uncultured archaeon. Its description in RNAcentral is "bacterial SSU rRNA". It matches the Rfam family "Archaeal small subunit ribosomal RNA", at positions 324 to 867 of the family's 1478-position model. The record is from RNAcentral.